RNAcentral lists this long non-coding RNA (208 nucleotides) under Vigna radiata. Its description in RNAcentral is "long non-coding RNA (VRAD_LNC015573)". Lineage: Eukaryota; Viridiplantae; Streptophyta; Magnoliopsida; Fabales; Fabaceae. The record is from RNAcentral.
AGCAAUAUCACGUGACCAUCCAUGCACCAAAUAAAGAAAUUCAAUUUCUAGAAUGGCCAAAAAUCUUCAUGGCCNUGAGUUGCACAUNCCAACUCCCAUUUCAUUCUCUUCCUUCAACAAACCAAUUAAUGUGUUGCUUCCUUUUGUGCCAUGUGCUUCAUUCUCCAAGACAAACCUUGCUUUCCACACUUUUCUACCAUGAAAACCG